UGGUGAAUAGUGUAAGAAGCAUGUAUGAUUUCGGCUCAUAAGGUAAUAUUAUUUUUUCACUUG
RNAcentral lists this transfer RNA (63 nucleotides) under Villorita cyprinoides. Its description in RNAcentral is "tRNA-Arg". Lineage: Eukaryota; Metazoa; Mollusca; Bivalvia; Venerida; Cyrenidae. The record is from RNAcentral.